This 445-nucleotide ribosomal RNA is filed under the name uncultured bacterium. RNAcentral's name for it is "partial 16S ribosomal RNA". It matches the Rfam family "Bacterial small subunit ribosomal RNA", at positions 354 to 796 of the family's 1533-position model. The record is from RNAcentral.
GUAGGGAAUAUUGGACAAUGGGCGAAAGCCUGAUCCAGCCAUGUCGCGUGAUAGAUGAAGGCCCUCUGGGUUGUAAAUAUCUUUUAUCUGGGAAGAAACUCCUCUAUUCUUAGAGGCCUGACGGUACCAGAGGAAUAAGCACCGGCUAACUCCGUGCCAGCAGCCGCGGUAAUACGGAGGGUGCAAGCGUUAUCCGGAUUCACUGGGUUUAAAGGGUGCGUAGGCGGGUUGAUAAGUCAGUGGUGAAAGCUCCGGGCUUAACUUGGAAACUGCCAUUGAUACUGUCAAUCUUGAAUGUCGUAGAGGUAAGCGGAAUGUUGCAUGUAGCGGUGAAAUGCUUAGAUAUGUUACAGAACACCAAUUGCGAAGGCAGCUUACUAUGCGAUAAUUGACGCUGAGGCACGAAAGCGUGGGGAGCAAACAGGAUUAGAAACCCGGGUAGUCC